This 98-nucleotide transfer RNA is filed under the name Heterocephalus glaber (naked mole-rat). It matches the Rfam family "tRNA". From Rfam's summary of the family: Transfer RNA (tRNA) molecules are approximately 80 nucleotides in length. Their secondary structure includes four short double-helical elements and three loops (D, anti-codon, and T loops). Further hydrogen bonds mediate the characteristic L-shaped molecular structure. tRNAs have two regions of fundamental functional importance: the anti-codon, which is responsible for specific mRNA codon recognition, and the 3' end, to which the tRNAs corresponding amino acid is attached (by aminoacyl-tRNA synthetases). tRNAs cope with the degeneracy of the genetic code in two manners: having more than one tRNA (with a specific anti-codon) for a particular amino acid; and 'wobble' base-pairing, i.e. permitting non-standard base-pairing at the 3rd anti-codon position. The record is from Rfam by way of RNAcentral. Lineage: Eukaryota; Metazoa; Chordata; Mammalia; Rodentia; Bathyergidae.
GUCAGGAUGGCCGAGUGGUCUGAGGCGCCAGGUUCGCACUUUGCCCGCGGGCGUUCUGGUCUCCGCGUGGAGGCUGGGUUCGAAUCCCACUUCUGACA